RNAcentral lists this transfer RNA (58 nucleotides) under Aphelenchoides besseyi. RNAcentral describes it as "tRNA-Val". The record is from RNAcentral. Lineage: Eukaryota; Metazoa; Nematoda; Chromadorea; Rhabditida; Aphelenchoididae.
AAAGAUUUAUAUUUUAUUUAGAAUAUAUUACUUACAAUAAUAAGGUUUUUAAUCUUUU